Molecule: ribosomal RNA, 199 nt
Filed under: Sulfurovum sp.
Lineage: Bacteria; Pseudomonadati; Campylobacterota; Epsilonproteobacteria; Campylobacterales; Sulfurovaceae
Description: partial 16S ribosomal RNA
Rfam family: Bacterial small subunit ribosomal RNA
Source: RNAcentral
AGAUUAUAAUGGAGAGUUUGAUCCUGGCUCAGAGUGAACGCUGGCGGCGUGCUUAACACAUGCAAGUCGAACGAGAACGGCCCCUGGCGUGCCAGGGGUGUCAGCUAAGUGGCGGACGGGUGAGUAAUGUAUAGCUAACGUGCCCUUUGGAGGGGGAUAACGACUGGAAACGGUCGCUAAUACCCCAUACUCCUUUCAA